UGGCGGCUGUGUAGGGACCGGUGUUGUUUAUCAGCAGUAAAAACAGCGAGGAAAACAAAGCGGCGCUGCCAGGGAAGCGAAGCGCGGUGCUGGGGCACCCCAGGAGCACCAGCCGAGGAAAGCGGCUCCAUCAGCUCCGGCAUCGGCUCUGCAUCCUGAGCGGAGCGGGGAGGGGAGGACGCAGGGGCGGCUCUGCCCAGCAGCCCUGCCCGGAGCCCCGCAGCCCCGGCCCCGCCGCCUCCUCCCUCCCUCACCAUGCUGGACAUUUUCAUCCUGAUGUUUUUCGCCAUCAUCGGCCUGGUGGUCCUGUCCUACAUCAUUUACAUGCUCUAAAGAGCCGCCGCCGCCGAAGAUGCGGCUCAGCAGCGGCCUCGCCAGCCGAGCGGCGGCCAGCCUCCGCCCGGUGCGCGUCCCUCGGAGCCUUCUGGAACAGCGUUAACCUCUGCGAGCCCGGCGCGGAGCACGGAGCGGUCACGGAGCCGGGGACGGGAAUGGGGGGACACGGGAGGGGGCUCCGAGGGGCUGUCCCGCUGCCGGGACCCGGCUAAUCCCCCUGUCAGGACCUGUGUCCUUCCCCCUGUCAGGACCCGUGUCCUUCCCGCUGCCGGGACCUGGGAUGCUCCCGGUGACGCACGCGGUGUCCCCAGGGGCAUGAGAAGGGUCCUGUCCCCUCCUUGUGUCGUGUCCCCUCGGCCCGAGGCGCUCAUCUGGGCUUAAUUUUAGGAACUGGCUUCUAUUUUUGAUGAGCGAUGUUCAGGGAGUGGAAUAAAGAGGAAUGACACAGGA
Pyrgilauda ruficollis (rufous-necked snowfinch) is the source of this 786-nucleotide long non-coding RNA. RefSeq lists it as uncharacterized. The record is from RefSeq and is a predicted model, not a curated record. The transcript is spliced from 3 exons. Lineage: Eukaryota; Metazoa; Chordata; Aves; Passeriformes; Passeridae.